Long non-coding RNA from Gopherus flavomarginatus (Mexican gopher tortoise), 2080 nucleotides. RefSeq lists it as uncharacterized. Lineage: Eukaryota; Metazoa; Chordata; Testudines; Testudinidae. The record is from RefSeq and is a predicted model, not a curated record. The transcript has 3 exons.
AGGGCAGGGACUGGCUGGCUCAGGGGGGCGGGGAAUGGGGCAGGGGCCUGUCCCCUCUAGGGGGCACCGGCUCCCACUCGCCCCCAGGGUGGGGACAGGCUGGCUCAGGGGGACAGGGGACGGGGCACGGGCUGUCGCACGAGAGAGUGAUCCCACACCGGUGGGAGAAGGCCGGGCACAGCAAACAUCCCGUGACCCGGGGGCACAGUAUGACGCGCCCUGGCACCACCCGCAGGCAGGGCAGGAAAGCCCCGUGUGGCCACAUGCGUUGGUGUUGUGCAAUGAACUGCCAAGUGUGUGACCGGCUGUUGAUGCCAGGCCCGGGGUGGGCGUGGGGGAACCCAUGGGGACAUGCUGCUGUCACUUGGAUAAGGCCAGAGCACAAAGUGUGCCCAUUGGCUGAGGAGGCCUGGGUGAGCACAAGAGAAAGUUCAAGUGGGCGUGUGCACUAGUGUGCGAGGGCCAAGGCACAAGGAGAGUGUGCAAGAGGCGAUGGGCACACGGGGGGGUAGGAGAUGUGCAAGGCAUUGCACAUGCCGGCGAGAGCAGUUGUAGAUCUUGAGCCAUGCAAGGGGAGAGAGCAGCAGCCAGGAUCACCAGGGAACGUGCGAGAGACGUGCAGUGUCAGCAGGCAGGCCUGGCACAGAAGCAUGAGAUUGCAGCAGCACUCGUGGAGGAUCACAAGCGUGUGCAAGACACAGGACACACCCAGUGUCACCUGUGAGGUGCGAGCUGCAUGCACACAACUGACCCUAGUCACAUGCCAGGGUAGGAGUGGGGGAGAUGCUAAGCACGUGCCCACUCUGUUCUGAGGCAAGGACAUUUGUGUGCACACUCCCACAAGCACAAGAUUGCACACGCUUGUGGGUGCAUCACUGCUCACACUCGAGGGGCCAACAGUGCACGAGUGGAUUAGCAGGUAAGCUCAUUGCAGGCCACACAACCCAGGCAUGUAUGAGGUCACAAGUGCACUGCAUGCACAAUCACAGGCACCUGCACAGGGUCAGAAGGGCAUGCACGGGGUCCCAAGCACACUGCACACAACAUCACAAGUGCACGUGCUGGAUCACAAACACACUGCAUGCACAACCACAAGUGCACAUGCCAAAUUACACGUACACUGCAUUGAAAAAUCACAAUGCACAUGCCGGAUCACAAGUGCACGAUCACCAGUGCACCCACAUGCAAAAUCACAAGCGCACGCACAGGAUCACAAGCGCAUGCACAGGUUCACAAGUGUACCUGCUUGCAAAAUCACAAGUGCAUGAUCACAAGCGCACUGCAUGUAAAAUCACAAGUGCACGUGCCAGAUACCAAGCACACAAUCACAAGUGCACCCACAUGCAAAAUCACAAGUGCGUGCACAGGGUCUCAAAUGGGGCCCAGCGCAUUAGCGGGGCCCCCUCAGCCGACCAGGUGACAGGAGCCACUGGAUUGGGAGUCACACUCAGAGUGCCUGGGCAGGGGGCAUAGGAGGGCCGGCGGGGGGCUCGGGUCCACACCCCCCCCCCCACAGGACAGCAGUCACAAAGGUCCAAUAUAGUUUUUAUAGAGCGAUCUCGAGAGAACCAUUUCCAGCGCCAAAAACGUCUCUAUAUAUUAAAAAGAUCAUUCACUUUUCUCUCAGAAAAAUACUGCCAGCGCGGCCCCUUGUUCUGGGGGGCGGGAUGGGGACGAAGCGUGGCCCCCCCAAAACCAGGAGGGGGCAUGAAGCUGAGUGAGGGGAUAUUUGUCCGAAGCGGCAGUGGGGUGUGUGUGAUCUCCCACGGGGGGGCGCCCCAGGGGAGGAGCUAGCUGGUUAAAUGGGGGGUUGAGAUGGCCAAGAUUUUGGCAGCAGCGGUUGGGGGCGGCCUGGGGCUGGAAAAGGAUCCGGAGUGGAGAGGAAACUGACAAAGAAAUUAGCAAAUGGUGGGGCAGGAGGGAGCCAGGACUCCUGGGUUCUCUCCCCAGCUCUGGGAGGGGAGUGGGGGCUGGUGGGUCAGAGCAGGGGGUCCGGGAGCCAGGACUUCUGGGUUCUCUCCCUGGCUGUGGGAUGAGAGUGGGGGCUGGUGGGUUAGAGCAGGGGGGGGCUGGGAGCCAG